UUAUUUUAAACAUUCAAAAUCAUAUAAAAAAAUACAAACACACACACACACACCCAUCUCUUUUUACUAUAUUUCACUCACACACACCCACAACUAUCAAUUUACAAAUAAUCAAAAUUCAAAAUAAUUCAAACAACACAUUUAACAAUUGUAAAAAUUCACAAAUCAAUUUGCUGAGAAUUCUGGAAUAGUACUAGGAGUCCUCUGAGUUGCAUGAAUAGUGGCAACAUGUCUGUUCCAUAAGCUACUGUCACUUGUGACGCAUGAAACCACGCGCCGUUACUAGGAAAGGCUGGAGAUUGAUGGUCACUACUACCAAAAAUGAAAGAGGUAACGGCUGGAGUAAACGGGGUUGUUGGUUGGUGGCUGGAGAAGGGUGGAUCCACAGUGGAAGAAGAAGCAGCCGCUGGUUAUGGUGAGGAUAUGCUGUAAAGGACGUCGUUACUGGGAGGAGGAGAAGUCGCUGCUUUACUGGCAUAGCUGUGAUGUGUCGGCCAAGAGAGGGUCCGGUUUGGAAGGGUCUACUUUCAGUGGAGAAGAAGAAGGGAAAUGACGUUGGGCAGUGAGGUAUUAGGUUGGAAAUGGGGUUUGGUCCAUGGUGGUAGUGAUGAUUGAGAAGAGAAAGGAAGGAGAUGUUGUGGGUGGUUUUGGUUUGAAGUUGUAGAUGCUGACUUGAGGAGCUGGCGUUCACUGUGGCUGAGGGAAAAACUCUGGUGCUGCUGCUGUCACAGUCGUCUAUGGUAGCAACGAGGAGGAACCUUUAGGCUGAUCUUGAUGUUGAGGCUGGUCUAUCGUGAGAAUGGUUUAUAGGUUAUGAUGGUGAGAGAGGUUGAAGAGGAUGCUGAAGCCUUAUGGUCGAAUGUUGUGCUGCGUGAUGAAUGGGUAGUGGGUGGUGGUUGUCUUGGCAAUAGAGAGGGAAGUCUAGUGGUGGUCUGAUAUGAAAGAGGUAGUAGGUGGAAGAGCUGAGGUAUAUGGUGAAUGACAUUUUUGCUUGGUUUGGACAUGCAGCUGUAGUGAUGGGGAAGAGGCAAUGAAAGGGGCAAAAAUCGUUUCCCAGGGUUGACGACAGCUAGUCGAGGUUUUUUUAGGUUUAAGGUUUUUUUUUUUAUUGUAUUGUACUGUGGAGGUGUGGGGAAAAUAUUUGUGAAUAUCUUCUUUUUUUUUUUCUUUUUUUUCAAAUUUCUCUUCUUUUUUUAUAUGUGUAACCACUAAAAUUUUGUUAUUU
Molecule: long non-coding RNA, 1225 nt
Organism: Populus nigra (black poplar)
Lineage: Eukaryota; Viridiplantae; Streptophyta; Magnoliopsida; Malpighiales; Salicaceae
Exons: 2
Source: RefSeq, a predicted model, not a curated record